Molecule: long non-coding RNA, 203 nt
Organism: Coregonus clupeaformis (lake whitefish)
Lineage: Eukaryota; Metazoa; Chordata; Actinopteri; Salmoniformes; Salmonidae
Exons: 3
Source: RefSeq, a predicted model, not a curated record
CCACACUUUUUUGGAAGCUGAACUUUUUUAGAGUGGAAAAUGGGUAUUUGAGACUGUUGGCACAUUUCCCUCCUCCACAAUGGCCACCGAAACCUUUCUGGUGAAUGAAGACCCCUCCAGAGGUCCUGGGAUGCCUGAAUGCUUUGUAGUAUCAGAUUCCUACAGGUAUUGCACUACUCACCUUCUAAACAAUCCAUUAGUGG